GAUGAACGCUGGCGGUAUGCUUAACACAUGCAAGUCGAACGGACUCUUCGGAGUUAGUGGCGGACGGGUGAGUAACGCGUGAGAAUCUGGCUUUGGGUUCGGGACAACCACUGGAAACGGUGGCUAAUACCGGAUGUGCCGAGAGGUAAAAGAGAAAUUGCCUGAAGAUGAGCUCGCGUCUGAUUAGCUAGUUGGUGAGGUAAAGGCUCACCAAGGCAGCGAUCAGUAGCUGGUCUGAGAGGAUGACCAGCCACACUGGGACUGAGACACGGCCCAGACUGCUACGGGAAGCAGCAGUGGGGAAUUUUCCGCAAUGGGCGAAAGCCUGACGGAGCAAUACCGCGUGAGGGAAGAAGGCUCUUGGGUUGUAAACCUCUUUUCUUAGGGAAGAACAAAAUGACGGUACCUAAGGAAUCAGCAUCGGCUAACUCCGUG
This 435-nucleotide ribosomal RNA is filed under the name uncultured bacterium. RNAcentral describes it as "partial 16S ribosomal RNA". It matches the Rfam family "Bacterial small subunit ribosomal RNA", at positions 28 to 507 of the family's 1533-position model. The record is from RNAcentral.